UACGGGGGGAGCAAGCGUUGUUCGGAUUUACUGGGCGUAAAGGGCGCGUAGGCGGUCAGCACAAGUCAGUUGUGAAAUCUCCGGGCUUAACUCGGAAAGGUCAACUGAUACUGUGCGACUAGAGUGCAGAAGGGGCAACUGGAAUUCUCGGUGUAGCGGUGAAAUGCGUAGAUAUCGAGAGGAACACCUGCGGCGAAGGCGGGUUGCUGGGCUGACACUGACGCUGAUGCGCGAAAGCCAGGGGAGCGAGCGGG
RNAcentral lists this ribosomal RNA (254 nucleotides) under uncultured bacterium. Its description in RNAcentral is "partial 16S ribosomal RNA". It matches the Rfam family "Bacterial small subunit ribosomal RNA", at positions 524 to 776 of the family's 1533-position model. The record is from RNAcentral.